UACGUAGGGUGCAAGCGUUGUCCGGAAUUAUUGGGCGUAAAGGGCUCGUAGGCGGUCCAUCGCGUCGGGAGUAAAAAGCUGGGGCUCAACCCCAGUCCUGCUUCCGAUACGGGUGGACUAGAGGUAUGCAGGGGAGAACGGAAUUCCUGGUGUAGCGGUGAAAUGCGCAGAUAUCAGGAGGAACACCGGUGGCGAAGGCGGGUCUCUGGGCCGUAACUGACGCUGAGGAGCGAAAGCGUGGGGAGCGAACAGG
RNAcentral lists this ribosomal RNA (253 nucleotides) under uncultured bacterium. RNAcentral's name for it is "partial 16S ribosomal RNA". It matches the Rfam family "Bacterial small subunit ribosomal RNA", at positions 524 to 776 of the family's 1533-position model. The record is from RNAcentral.